Molecule: ribosomal RNA, 169 nt
Filed under: Glomus sp. (unid)
Lineage: Eukaryota; Fungi; Glomeromycota; Glomeromycetes; Glomerales; Glomeraceae
Source: RNAcentral
CAGUCGUACUUGCGGAUAAUCAACCUUCAGAUGCGAUUUUGUGGAGCGUCAAGAGUUAAGCGCCUUCAUGCCUGCAUAUUCGUAUACUUUGGGUGUACUUAUUCGUGUGGUAAGUUAACAUCUAAUUUUGGUGGUCAAUAAAAUGACUGGAGGAAUGUAGCUUCGAUUC